Molecule: ribosomal RNA, 413 nt
Filed under: uncultured bacterium
Lineage: Bacteria
Description: bacterial SSU rRNA
Rfam family: Bacterial small subunit ribosomal RNA
Source: RNAcentral
GUGCCAGCCGCCGCGGUAAUACGUAGGGGGCGAGCGUUGUCCGGAAUUACUGGGCGUAAAGGGUGCGUAGGCGGCUUCUUAAGUCAGAUGUGAAAGACCACAGCUUAACUGUGGGGUUGCAUUUGAAACUGGGGAGCUUGAGUUUCGGAGAGGGUAGUGGAAUUCCCAGUGUAGCGGUGAAAUGCGUAGAUAUUGGGAGGAACACCAGUGGCGAAGGCGACUACCUGGACGAUAACUGACGCUGAGGCACGAAAGCUAGGGGAGCAAACAGGAUUAGAUACCCUGGUAGUCCUAGCCGUAAACGAUGGGUACUAGGUGUGGGUGGUUUCGAUACCAUCCGUGCCGCAGUUAACGCAAUAAGUAUCCCACCUGGGGAGUACGGCCGCAAGGCUGAAACUCAAAGGAAUUGGCGG